GUUCUGGAUAGUUCGGCUAAAGUGAGUUUAACAUUAUUCUACGUAGUUUAAGUGCACGUUUUCAUACAUAACCAUUCAGCCUCAAUUUAGUUAUCGAUUUGUCAUAUUUCCUGUGUCCGAAAUCGUCCGAGAUUGUCCGAUAUCAUCGUCAAUGUUUUUUAUGAAAUGACUGAGACAGAAUUCUAAUAACAUCUUUUGUCUAUGGUACGACUCAGAGCUCGGAUGCAUAGCAAUAGCAGAGGGCGCAGGCGCACUAGAAAGUCGUACGCAAUGCGGUUGUAAUAUCCUAAGGGCGACCGUUUUGCUGGUGCAAAGGAUAUUAUACUAAGACGGCUGGGAACUGUCGCAGCCUCUUUCGAUUACGGAUCACGUCUUGACCGCACCUCGUCCCGAUGAAUCCGACUCGAGAAGCAGACGGACCCGCUGACCAACCUACCGUGAAGGAGCUUGAUUGUCCAUAUUGUCCAAGCGUGCUAAGUUAUGGAGAUUCCUAAUGCUAACCCGGCCGACCCUAAUCCGUCUCGUAGCUCUGUGAGCCGGAAGAUCCAGAUUUUCCAAUGUUCUGAAUCGGCCACGUCGAAGUACGGAUAUCGUGUAAGGUGAUGACACGAGAUGAAGAUGCAGUCGUGUCUUUACCUUACGAAGAACAAUGGUUUCGAUCGAGAUGAGAAGGAAAGAGGGAGGAUGGACGACCGUGGUUGACAACCCUUUAUCAAGUACGACGGCUCGUUUAGGUACAGCGGAAGCUAAAUGGACGAGCGGCUCGGAUGAACGGUAGAGGGGCACGCAAUAAAGGGGUAGUGUCGCGAGAUAAUUGGAAGCUACGGCUGUCCUAGAUGGACGUAAAGGCGAGGAAGAGAUUCUAAUGCAGAGCUCGCCCGUGUCUGCCGACUUGCACGUCCACGAUUGCACCUAUUGUUAUUGGCUUUGGAAUUUACGACGUUACUAUAAGAAACUUUUCUAUGAGAUCAGUUUAAACUUUAUUAUUCUGUUAAAUAUUAUAUAAUGAAUAAUAGACACCGUUACGAACAAUAGAAACAUAUUGAAAUAGAAUUAGAAUAGAUUCAUCGAUUAAUCUCGUUACAGAUAAAAUAUAUACAUAUAUACAUGUACACACACACACACACACACAUAUAUAUAUAUACAUCUAGUUGAAGAUUACAUUACAUAUCUACAUAAAUAUAGAUUCAUCAUAAUUUUAUAAUACGUUCAGAAGAUUCAGUUUAUCAAGAACGCAUAAUUUCGAAUGAAUGAGAAGAAAAAAAAGAGAGAGAUGAGUUUUAAAUUCUAUUGGCCCGAUCUUCUACAACUUUCUGCAAUUGAAAACGCAUGUUUUUGCGUUGAUGUAAUGGCGGAAACUUAUUCUAUAUCCGUAUAGAAGUUAUAUAAUACCUAAUGAGGGUUGUGUGUAGCUUGUUAUCAGUGAGCUGGUACGAGGUAAUAUUCAGUCUGGGAGACCGAACGUUCAAAUAUAGUGCCUACAAAAUCGAUCCUUCUCCUGAAUUCAACCAUUGAAUAUGGUAUAGGUAUUCAUUCAUGGAAGUUCUAUAGUACGAGUUAAGGAAAUCCAUAAAAUUCACUUCGUCUACUAACGUCUACAUUAAUCUCUUGUAGACGAGCACGUUGUAGAAUAGAUCAGUUAGAAAUGCAAUUCUCUUAACAUUUUGUCUGUAUAAAUCGUCUUGUCCUAGUAUAGUUUAUGUUCUUCGUUUUCACGUAUAUCUUUAGAUUUAUAUUUGUAAUAUGUUUCUUUAAUAUGUGCGUUUUAAUAAUUAUUAGAUUCUAAUAUUACUUCUUAAUGUAUGAUUUGUCCGACAAUGUUGCAUCUAUCAUUGACAGGGAAAAAUAAAUAAUCUGAAAAUUCAAAAUAUUUGGAAACUUUUGAUAAAGUAAACUUAUGUCAUCUAUAAUACAACCUUAUUUUUAUUUGAUACUAUAAUCCGAUUUUAAGGGAUAAAAUGAUAGUAAUUUUUACUACUUUUGUUAUUUAAAUAACUAGUAUCAUAUGUAUUUAUUUAUUAUGUAUAUUUAUAAUAUUUUUUUAAGUAGCCAAUUUUGAGAUAUAAA
This is a long non-coding RNA of Vespa velutina, 2067 nucleotides long. RefSeq lists it as uncharacterized. The record is from RefSeq and is a predicted model, not a curated record. The transcript is spliced from 4 exons. Lineage: Eukaryota; Metazoa; Arthropoda; Insecta; Hymenoptera; Vespidae.